Molecule: ribosomal RNA, 741 nt
Filed under: Clostridium sp. RTT1
Lineage: Bacteria; Bacillati; Bacillota; Clostridia; Eubacteriales; Clostridiaceae
Description: bacterial SSU rRNA
Rfam family: Bacterial small subunit ribosomal RNA
Source: RNAcentral
CUGGGCUUCAAGGACCGAAACGCCCGGGCGGCGGGGCCCAAACAACAAGGCAAAGCCGAGCGGAAUGAAAACCCCCUUCCGGGGGGUGGAUUAGCGGGCGGACGGGGUGAGUAAACACCGUGGGUAACCCUGCCUCAAAGUGGGGGGAUAGCCUUCCGAAAGGAAGGAUUAAUACCGGCAUAAAGGCCAAGUUUCCACAUGGAAUUUGGAUGAAAGGAGUAAUUCGCUUUGAGAUGGACCCGCGGCGCAUUAGUUAGUUGGUGGGGUAAUGGCCUACCAAGACAGCGAUGCGUAGCCGACCUGAGAGGGUGAUCGGCCACAUUGGAACUGAGAUACGGUCCAGACUCCUACGGGAGGCAGCAGUGGGGAAUAUUGCACAAUGGGCGAAAGCCUGAUGCAGCAACGCCGCGUGAGUGAUGAAGGUCUUCGGAUUGUAAAGCUCUGUCUUUUGGGACGAUAAUGACGGUACCAAAGGAGGAAGCCACGGCUAACUACGUGCCAGCAGCCGCGGUAAUACGUAGGUGGCGAGCGUUGUCCGGAUUUACUGGGCGUAAAGGGUGCGUAGGCGGAUGUUUAAGUGAGAUGUGAAAUACCCGGGCUUAACUUGGGUGCUGCAUUUCAAACUGGAUAUCUAGAGUGCAGGAGAGGAGAAUGGAAUUCCUAGUGUAGCGGUGAAAUGCGUAGAGAUUAGGAAGAACACCAGUGGCGAAGGCGAUUCUCUGGACUGUAACUGACGCUGAG